Molecule: ribosomal RNA, 253 nt
Filed under: uncultured bacterium
Lineage: Bacteria
Description: partial 16S ribosomal RNA
Rfam family: Bacterial small subunit ribosomal RNA
Source: RNAcentral
UACAGAGGGUGCAAGCGUUGCUCGGAUUUACUGGGCGUAAAGCGUACGCAGACGGUGAGAAAGGUCGGAUGUGAAAGCCCCGGGCUCAACCCGGGAACUGCAUCCGAAACCAUCUCGCUCGGGUGUGGGAGAGGGAAGCGGAAUUCCUGGUGUAGAGGUGAAAUUCGUAGAUAUCAGGAGGAACACCGGCGGCGAAGGCGGCUUCCUGGCCCAUUACUGACGCUGAGGUGCGAAAGCGUGGGGAGCAAACAGG